CAGGCAGCUGGAGUGGAUGGUUGGAAGAAAGCGGGGGAGACGAUCUCUGAGAGGGGGGACGGUAAAGACGGACAGAACGGAGAUCUAUGCCUUCACAUCAUAUCUUUAGAUGUAGCACAAUCCUUCCCUCAUAAUUACUUUUCUACAGUUGCUGAAAUCCAGUUUCAUGGAAAGUCCUGCAACAUAAAUGAUCAUGGGAGCUUCUGAUCGAUUGCUGUCAAGGGUCCUAGGAGUGGCAACAGCUAAAUUUUACCUAAACAUCUCAGAAAAAACACAACAGAGAUGUACCACAACAUACAAGUUUCCAGGAAAUGUCCAGGAUAUUUCCAAAAGCUGCGAGUUGAUGCUUUUUAUGCUUUCAGCGUUACAGUCCAGCUUGAGGAUGUCCAGCGCUGCUCAUUCAUCUGAUCUGGAGUCAUUCACAAUGGGCUCAAAUGAAUUCCACUAAUUCAUUAAAAUUCCUCAGCUGAGCCCAUUUUCUGUGGAGCCUUUGUUACAUUCCCUCAAAAAAAAAAAAAAGAACUGUAGUCAUUGAUGCACAUUAUCUCUGCAUUAUCCACACACACACACACACACACACACACACACACACACACACACACACACACACCCCAUCACACACCAAACACCAUCAAGUGCUUACUUCUCAUGCAAACGCUCAUUGCAGUAACUGCUUUGCCUGAGGACAGCCUCAAUAUAGAUCCACAAACAUGCAAUAUUCCCCUCUCUCUCGGUUUAAUUUAUGUCAGUUCCAGUCAUGUCAUGCAAGAAGUGAUGAAACAUAAGAGAUGCUGAAUAAGAAAUAUUAAAUAAAUAAAACAUGAUGAUUGCCUGCA
Molecule: long non-coding RNA, 836 nt
Organism: Megalobrama amblycephala (Wuchang bream)
Lineage: Eukaryota; Metazoa; Chordata; Actinopteri; Cypriniformes; Xenocyprididae
Exons: 3
Source: RefSeq, a predicted model, not a curated record